UGGGAUUAACAUAUUACCCAAGAAUUGUAAAAUAUUGUUCUUAUCAACAAAAUAAAAUAAUAAUAAACUAUUAAUAUAUGAUGUUUGAUAGUACGUUUUUAACUCAUGUGGCUCUAGUGAGUGAUUCAACCAAAUGAUUAACAAAACUUAAAAAAAAAUGAAAAGCAAUGUAAGUCACAGUCAGAGGAAAUUUCACCACAC
This 201-nucleotide long non-coding RNA is filed under the name Lathyrus oleraceus (garden pea). RNAcentral describes it as "Pisum sativum (pea) long non-coding RNA (PSAT_LNC022607)". Lineage: Eukaryota; Viridiplantae; Streptophyta; Magnoliopsida; Fabales; Fabaceae. The record is from RNAcentral.